Tachysurus vachellii is the source of this 350-nucleotide long non-coding RNA. RefSeq lists it as uncharacterized. The transcript is spliced from 3 exons. Lineage: Eukaryota; Metazoa; Chordata; Actinopteri; Siluriformes; Bagridae. The record is from RefSeq and is a predicted model, not a curated record.
CAGCAACUGCUGGUUUCUUCUGAUAUCAAUGAAUGUAAUCUGUAGACUAUAAGGCUAGAAAAGAAGGACAUUUGCGGUUUAAGUGUAUAUUGAUCGGGAUCUGUCAGGAUGCUGCAACUAAUCAACAGAGAAAAACUAAUGAGGAAAAUGUCUCCAUCUCCAUGACCAAUUGUAAAAUGUCCCAAUACCUUUUAUGGCACAUACCCAUCAACAGAGCAUACACACAGAGGCUGGAUAUUUGGGGAGGAUUCAGUGUCUACACAUUGUACAAGCGUUCAAGAGAGGGUCAAGUGAUUUCUUCACUCUUCAUCAUGGCCUUUCUGGAAGAGGAAAUAAAGACAAGAGCAGAG